CCUACGGGAGGCAGCAGUGAGGAAUAUUGGUCAAUGGGCGUAAGCCUGAACCAGCCAAGUCGCGUGAGGGAUGAAGGUUCUAUGGAUCGUAAACCUCUUUUAUAAGGGAAUAAAGUGUGGGUCGUGUACUAUUUUGUAUGUACAUUAUGAAUAAGGAUCGGCUAACUCCGUGCCAGCAGCCGCGGUAAUACGGAGGAUCCGAGCGUUAUCCGGAUUUAUUGGGUUUAAAGGGUGCGUAGGCGGCCUUUUAAGUCAGCGGUGAAAGUGUGUGGCUCAACCGUAGAAUUGCAGUUGAAACUGGUGGUCUUGAGUAUGUUUGAGGCAGGCGGAAGGAGUGGUGGAGCGGUGAAAUGCUUAGAUAUCACGCAGAACCCCGAUUGCGAAGGCAGCCUGCCAAGCCAUGACUGACGCUGAUGCACGAAAGCGUGGGGAUCAAACAGGAUUAGAUACCCGAGUAGUC
This 460-nucleotide ribosomal RNA is filed under the name uncultured bacterium. RNAcentral describes it as "partial 16S ribosomal RNA". It matches the Rfam family "Bacterial small subunit ribosomal RNA", at positions 338 to 795 of the family's 1533-position model. The record is from RNAcentral.